RNAcentral lists this ribosomal RNA (481 nucleotides) under Aequipecten opercularis. RNAcentral describes it as "16S ribosomal RNA". It matches the Rfam family "Bacterial large subunit ribosomal RNA", at positions 1831 to 2597 of the family's 2925-position model. The record is from RNAcentral. Lineage: Eukaryota; Metazoa; Mollusca; Bivalvia; Pectinida; Pectinidae.
GGCCUACUGUAUUUAUAGUAGGUCGUUCCUUCCCAGUGAGAUGACUUAAACGGAUGCGGUAAAGCGUGCUAAGGUAGCUAAAUUAUGGCCCUCUAAUUGGGGGCCCUGUGAAUGGAUUGACGAGCCUAUAACUGUCUCUAGCUGAAUUAUAUGAAAUUGAAUUUUAAGUGCAAAUGCUUAAAUAUAAGUGAUAGACGAGAAGACCCCGUGAAGUUGUUAACUAAGUGGCAGAAAUUUCUUACCACUUUUGUUGUUGGCUGGGGCAGCAAAAGAGCAAGAUCAGACUCUUUCUUUUCUUUGUUUGAUAGACGAUCCACUUACUUUAUUUAGUGAUUAACAGAAGAAGUUACUCCGGGGAUAACAGCGUUAUUUUCUUUGAUAGUUCUUAUAGAUGAGAAAGUUUGCGACCUCGAUGUUGGCUCCGGAUAUCCUGAGGCUGUAGGCGGUCUCAAUGGUUGGUAUGUUCGCCCAUUAAAAUCCU